This 76-nucleotide transfer RNA is filed under the name Mesorhizobium sp. WSM3876. RNAcentral's name for it is "tRNA-Ser". It matches the Rfam family "tRNA". From Rfam's summary of the family: Transfer RNA (tRNA) molecules are approximately 80 nucleotides in length. Their secondary structure includes four short double-helical elements and three loops (D, anti-codon, and T loops). Lineage: Bacteria; Pseudomonadati; Pseudomonadota; Alphaproteobacteria; Hyphomicrobiales; Phyllobacteriaceae. The record is from RNAcentral.
CACGGGGUAGCACAGUGGAAGCGCGCGUCACUGCUAUGUGACGAGGACGCAGGUUCGAUUCCUGCCCCCAAGGCAA